This is a non-coding RNA of Podarcis lilfordi (Lilford's wall lizard), 75 nucleotides long. The record is from the annotation of a GenBank genome assembly. Lineage: Eukaryota; Metazoa; Chordata; Lepidosauria; Squamata; Lacertidae.
GCUCCACCUUGGCUCAGUCAGUAGAGCAUGAGACUCUUAAUCUCAAGGUCAUGGGUUUGAGCCCCACAUUGGGCA